GAUGAACGCUGGCGGCGUGCCUAAUACGUGCAAGUCGAGCGAACAGACGAGGAGCUUGCUCCUCUGACGUUAGCGGCGGACGGGUGAGUAACACGUGGAUAACCUACCUAUAAGACUGGGAUAACUUCGGGAAACCGGAGCUAAUACCGGAUAAUAUAUUGAACCGCAUGGUUCAAUAGUGAAAGACGGUUUUGCUGUCACUUAUAGAAGGAUCCGCGCCGCAUUAGCUAGUUGGUAAGGUAACGGCUUACCAAGGCAACGAUGCGUAGCCGACCUGAGAGGGUGAUCGGCCACACUGGAACUGAGACACGGUCCAGACUCCUACGGGAGGCAGCAGUAGGGAAUCUUCCGCAAUGGGCGAAAGCCUGACGGAGCAACGCCGCGUGAGUGAUGAAGGUCUUCGGAUCGUAAAACUCUGUUAUUAGGGAAGAACAAAUGUGUAAGUAACUAUGCACGUCUUGACGGUACCUAAUCAGAAAGCCACGGCUAACUACGUG
This 497-nucleotide ribosomal RNA is filed under the name uncultured bacterium. RNAcentral describes it as "partial 16S ribosomal RNA". It matches the Rfam family "Bacterial small subunit ribosomal RNA", at positions 28 to 507 of the family's 1533-position model. The record is from RNAcentral.